Molecule: long non-coding RNA, 913 nt
Organism: Photinus pyralis (common eastern firefly)
Lineage: Eukaryota; Metazoa; Arthropoda; Insecta; Coleoptera; Lampyridae
Exons: 2
Source: RefSeq, a predicted model, not a curated record
GAUUUGUUUUGGCCGCCGUCGAGCAAAUCUCACUCUUAGCGCAAUGAUAUUUUAGAAACGAGGAACUUCGUCAGCUGACUGUGUAGAGCAAUAUUGAUCAGAAGCCGUUCGGAUACGAGUUUGGGCCUUACGGUAGGAGAAUGGUGGGAUUGUUCUCCCGCCACGCGAAAUGUGGGUCAAAUCUAAGGUAUAGUAUUGGUCUUUGCUGAUAGAAGCGGAUUAUUGCAAGUGGCUCCCUAGCUGAAAUGAUGGUAAAAAUUUUUUUCUAACUUGUGGUGAUAGUAAUGCUCGAGCAGUUGGUUCUCAAUAACGUUCACUCUCGAUCGCUGUUUUGAUUCUGCGAGUACUGUGCUGUUCCACGCGAACUUUAAAGAACAAAUCCGUCGCAAUUAUGACGUCCCCAACAAUCAACGGCGGCAACGGCCACAAGGAAGCAAGCAAAAACGACUCCACAAGCACAGUCUCCGAGGACACACAGCAACGGCAGCAGACCCAAGAGAGGCCAACGCCGGCGCUGACCGCGUGGUGGAGAGUCUUCAAAUUAGCGAAUUUGCUGAUGCAGCAAGGUUGUUAGAUUCUAUGUAUUGUUGAUUAAUCAGCCAACGGACGCGCGUCGUCCGUUUAGGUUAGUAAAUCUCUAACUAUAGUAAGAACCAUGCCAAUAAUUACUAGUAAAUUUUACGCCAUCGUAUUUUAUAGGGAUAAAUAAACGGAGGGGAAAUGCUUUUACUAAGUUUCCAGUUGUAUUUGUUAAUCUUAUUCUAAUUCUAUUUUUGUUAAUGGUUGCGUGUUGCAAACGGGGUGGCAAGUCGCCGGUUCAUUGUUGCACUAUGUGAUAUGUGAUUAUAAUAUCAGUAUAAAUUAAGUCAAUAAUUUACUUCAUGUAUGUAAUACAAUAAAUGAUUGUCUGUUA